GUGCUUGAGUAGGCAGCACAUAUAAUAAUACUGGAAUUAAAAAGAGAGGGGUAGCAUGGCCCCUGCAUGAGGACUUCACGCAAAUUCCUUAAGGGUUUCAUAUGCUG
Molecule: small nuclear RNA, 107 nt
Organism: Sphaerodactylus townsendi
Lineage: Eukaryota; Metazoa; Chordata; Lepidosauria; Squamata; Sphaerodactylidae
Source: RefSeq, a predicted model, not a curated record